GCAGGAUGGGGAAUUUACAAUGGAUCUUCGUACCAAGAGCACCGGAGGAGCCCCCACCUUCAAUGUCACUGUCACCAUGACUGCCAAGACGCUAGUCCUGCUGAUGGGCAAAGAAGGUGUCCACGGUGGUUUGAUCAACAAGAAAUGUUAUGAAAUGGCCUCCCAUCUGCGGCGUUCCCAGUACUGACCUCAUCUGUCCCCUCCCCCACCGCUCCCUUCAGCUUUUGCACCCUUUCUUUCCAUACACACACAUACCAUUAUUUUUUGGGCCAUUACCCCAUUUCCCUUAUUGCUGCCAAAACCACAUGGGCCGGGGGCUGGGGCUGGACAGACAGAUACCUCCCCUUACCCAUACCCCCUCCUGUGUGUGUUUGGAAAAAAAUUGUUUUUUUUUUUUUUUUCUGAAUAAAAAAGAUUCUACUAA
Long non-coding RNA from Microtus ochrogaster (prairie vole), 424 nucleotides. RefSeq lists it as uncharacterized. The record is from RefSeq and is a predicted model, not a curated record. The transcript has 2 exons. NCBI's taxonomy places the organism in Eukaryota, Metazoa, Chordata, Mammalia, Rodentia, Cricetidae.